This 75-nucleotide transfer RNA is filed under the name Actinomycetota bacterium. RNAcentral describes it as "Actinobacteria bacterium (hydrothermal vent metagenome) tRNA-Val". It matches the Rfam family "tRNA". Rfam says of the family: Transfer RNA (tRNA) molecules are approximately 80 nucleotides in length. Their secondary structure includes four short double-helical elements and three loops (D, anti-codon, and T loops). The record is from RNAcentral. Lineage: Bacteria; Bacillati; Actinomycetota.
GGGCGCUUAGCUCAGCGGGAGAGCGCUGCCUUGACGCGGCAGAGGUCACUGGUUCGAUCCCAGUAGCGCCCACCG